GUACACUCCUGCGGGAGGCAGCAGUGGGGAAUUUUGAACAAUGGGCGAAAGCCUGAUCCAGCCAUGCCGCGUGCAGGAUGAAGGCCUUCGGGUUGUAAACUGCUUUUGUACGGAACGAAACGGCCUUUUCUAAUAAAGAGGGCUAAUGACGGUACCGUAAGAAUAAGCACCGGCUAACUACGUGCCAGCAGCCGCGGUAAUACGUAGGGUGCAAGCGUUAAUCGGAAUUACUGGGCGUAAAGCGUGCGCAGGCGGUUAUGUAAGACAGUUGUGAAAUCCCCGGGCUCAACCUGGGAACUGCAUCUGUGACUGCAUAGCUAGAGUACGGUAGAGGGGGAUGGAAUUCCGCGUGUAGCAGUGAAAUGCGUAGAUAUGCGGAGGAACACCGAUGGCGAAGGCAAUCCCCUGGACCUGUACUGACGCUCAUGCACGAAAGCGUGGGGAGCAAACAGGAUUAGAAACCCUUGUAGUCCCAUG
RNAcentral lists this ribosomal RNA (477 nucleotides) under uncultured organism. RNAcentral describes it as "partial 16S ribosomal RNA". It matches the Rfam family "Bacterial small subunit ribosomal RNA", at positions 331 to 799 of the family's 1533-position model. The record is from RNAcentral.